CUUAUUAACUCUUCCUACUCAGAGAGGUUAUAGAUGGAUACUAGUUUAAAAACACACAACCGAAGCCUCGGAAAGAAUGCAGCCGUAUUCGUGCCGACCCACCCGCACGCUAUGGGCCCUCUUCCUCAUUAUAGCCCCAGAGAGGACCAAGGUUCAUCUGCCAUGUGUCCAGCGCUGCGCCAGAGGUCACUUCUUCCAUUGCUGCAUCUGCAAAUGUAUGAGAGGUUCCCUGCAUGGCAUGUGUUGAGUCAUGGACACUAGAACCUGUUAUUAGUGUUUUAAAGAGUUAGGGUUUAGUAAGAAGUAACAGUGAGAUUUGAUUCUCUGUAUUUCUAGAUGAAUGGCUCCAUGUCAGGCAGUACCGACUGCAUUAAUGCACUCAUGGACUCCAUGCUUCAAGCCAUAUACUGGUCCGGAUUAAUUAACACAUUUACUGUUCUGUAUAAUCAGCAUAUAUGUCCUUGAGAGACACCGCAAAGCUGUAAAGCAAUGACUUGAAUGUGAUAAAGAGAAAGCCUCUUAUCUAAUCAUGAUGUGUUUAGGGUUCCAUGCUGAUUCCAUGUCUGGACUAUGAGACUGAACACGCUGCAGGAGAAUCAAAGCCAAUGCUCAGGACAAAGAGCAGAUGUUCGCUAGAUAACCUCUCUCUGGGCAAUCUUGGCACCCUAACCAGACAAGGAUUUCCUGGGUAAACUUCAAGUCGGCUGUGUUGGGAGGGAAUCACAAAGGCCGGGCUGAAGUUGAGCUUUGUGCAUAUGGACAUACACUAUGUCUCCCACAUAUAUAUCGGUGGGAUCAGGAACAGUAAAAGCUCAUUCCUAGAGCUAUAUGCAUACCUUAGUUGACUGCACAUCAAUCAUAGGCCUAUUUAACAGAUAGGAGAAAACAUGAUCAUAACUGUGAAGUCUGUCAGUGAUGCCAAGAUAUACAGUGUCUUCGGAAAGUAUUCAGACCCCUUAACUUUUUGUUAAGUUACAGCCUUAUUCUAAAAUGGAUUAAAUUGUGUUUUUUCUCAUCAAUCUACACACAGUACCACAUAAUGACAAAGCAAAAAUGUUUUUUUCUAAAAUUUUGUGAAGUUACAAUAAUUAAUCAUUUAAAAAAAUCACAUUAACAUAAGUGUUCAAACCCUUUACUUAGUACUUUGUUGAAGCACCUAUGGCAGUGACUACAGCCUCGAGUCUUCUUGGGUAUGACGCUACAAGCUUGGCACAUAUAUUUGGGGAGUUUCUCCCAUUCUUCUCUGCAGAUCCUAUCAAGCUCUGUCAGGUUGGGUGGGCAGCGUCACUACACAGCUAUUUUCAGGUCUCUAGAGAUGUUGGAUCGGGUUCAAGUCAGGGCUCUGGCUGGGCCACUCAAUGACAUUCAGAGAAUUGUCCCGAUGCCACUCCUGCAUGGUCUUGGC
Molecule: long non-coding RNA, 1405 nt
Filed under: Oncorhynchus kisutch (coho salmon)
Lineage: Eukaryota; Metazoa; Chordata; Actinopteri; Salmoniformes; Salmonidae
Description: lncRNA (ENSOKIG00005034811.1)
Source: RNAcentral